Molecule: long non-coding RNA, 353 nt
Organism: Cannabis sativa
Lineage: Eukaryota; Viridiplantae; Streptophyta; Magnoliopsida; Rosales; Cannabaceae
Exons: 2
Source: RefSeq, a predicted model, not a curated record
CUCUCUCGAACCCUCGAGAGGGAGCAAGGGAACUUGAUUUUUUAGCUCCAAUUCAGAGGACUCUAGCAAGGAUUUAGUGUUUCAAUUCAAGUUAUUGCUUGCAUGUGGAGGUAAGGGCAAGGCUAAGGUUGAGCAGCCGUGAGAGCGAGCGGAUGAAGAUUGUACAUGUCGGGGCGGUUAGGUCUGGAGUAUACGGUCUUUGGGCGUGUUGGACGUAUUUUGUAUAGUCACUAGGAAAUAACUUUUGUAUUAUGUACCAUAUGAAAUAGUUGUAAAUAUUUUAUAAACGGGAUGCUGAUUAUACAUAUGUUAUAAUUUUGAUGUUUAUAAGUAGUUGAACAAAGUUUUAAUUA